This 497-nucleotide ribosomal RNA is filed under the name uncultured bacterium. RNAcentral describes it as "partial 16S ribosomal RNA". It matches the Rfam family "Bacterial small subunit ribosomal RNA", at positions 28 to 507 of the family's 1533-position model. The record is from RNAcentral.
GAUGAACGCUGGCGGCGCGCCUAAUACAUGCAAGUCGAGCGAACAGACGAGGAGCUUGCUCCUCUGACGUUAGCGGCGGACGGGUGAGUAACACGUGGAUAACCUACCUAUAAGCCUGGGAUAACUUCGGGAAACCGGAGCUAAUACCGGAUAAUAUAUUGAACCGCAUGGUUCAAUAGUGAAAGACGGUUUUGCUGUCACUUAUAGAUGGAUCCGCGCCGCAUUAGCUAGUUGGUAAGGUAACGGCUUACCAAGGCAACGAUGCGUAGCCGACCUGAGAGGGUGAUCGGCCACACUGGAACUGAGAGACGGUCCAGACGCCUACGGGAGGCAGCAGGAGGGAAGCGGCCGCAAUGGGCGAAAGCCUGACGGAGCAACGCCGCGUGAGUGAUGAAGGUCUUCGGAUCGUAAAACUCUGUUAUUAGGGAAGAACAAAUGUGUAAGUAACUAUGCACGUCUUGACGGUACCUAAUCAGAAAGCCACGGUUAACUACGUG